UACGGAGGGCGCGAGCGUUAAUCGGAAUGACUGGGCGUAAAGGGCACGCAGGCGGUCUGCUAAGCCAGAUGUGAAAGCCCCGGGCUCAACCUGGGAACUGCAUUUGGUACUGGCAGGCUGGAGGCUUGGAGAGGGGGGUAGAAUUUCCGGUGUAGCGGUGAAAUGCGUAGAGAUCGGAAGGAAUACCAGUGGCGAAGGCGGCCCCCUGGCCAAAGACUGACGCUCAGGUGCGAAAGCGUGGGGAGCAAACAGG
RNAcentral lists this unclassified non-coding RNA (253 nucleotides) under uncultured Armatimonadota bacterium. Its description in RNAcentral is "uncultured Armatimonadetes bacterium contains 16S-23S intergenic spacer region". It matches the Rfam family "Bacterial small subunit ribosomal RNA", at positions 524 to 776 of the family's 1533-position model. Lineage: Bacteria; Bacillati; Armatimonadota. The record is from RNAcentral.